GCACUGUUCCUCCUAACUUCCUUCAGUGAUGGAUUUUGAUGUGGCCGUAACUUUGAAAUGUAUUGAGGAUUUCUUGGCAGCAUGAAGUAAAGCCCGCUUGAUGGAGUCUCAUGUGUGAUGCAUUCAGUUCACCUCAACAUAAGGCUAUCACUGGACCAGCACCACCACCUUAGUUUUCAAGGUAGAUGUUCCAAUUGAAAUUAUGCAUCCUGCUUGAAGAGUCACACAUCACUAUAACAACCAGCCCCUUUAUUGUUUUUUCUUCGUGAAUGUUUUAAUUAACAACAGUGUGAAAUAAAACUACUCAUGACAUCA
Long non-coding RNA from Mesocricetus auratus (golden hamster), 315 nucleotides. RefSeq lists it as uncharacterized. The record is from RefSeq and is a predicted model, not a curated record. NCBI's taxonomy places the organism in Eukaryota, Metazoa, Chordata, Mammalia, Rodentia, Cricetidae. The transcript has 4 exons.